GCCGAUGGAGGGGGAUAACUACUGGAAACGGUAGCUAAUACCGCAUAACGUCGCAAGACCAAAGAGGGGGACCUUCGGGCCUCUUGCCAUCGGAUGUGCCCAGAUGGGAUUAGCUAGUAGGUGGGGUAACGGCUCACCUAGGCGACGAUCCCUAGCUGGUCUGAGAGGAUGACCAGCCACACUGGAACUGAGACACGGUCCAG
RNAcentral lists this ribosomal RNA (203 nucleotides) under uncultured bacterium. RNAcentral describes it as "partial 16S ribosomal RNA". It matches the Rfam family "Bacterial small subunit ribosomal RNA", at positions 129 to 334 of the family's 1533-position model. The record is from RNAcentral.